This 9223-nucleotide long non-coding RNA is filed under the name Salvia miltiorrhiza (redroot sage). RNAcentral describes it as "long non-coding RNA (SMIL_LNC008342)". Lineage: Eukaryota; Viridiplantae; Streptophyta; Magnoliopsida; Lamiales; Lamiaceae. The record is from RNAcentral.
CAAUUUGAGAAGCGGUGAGGGGCAGAAGCGGAACUGAGGAACUGGAGACCGGCGCCGCCGGUUUCAGAAACGCCUCCUUGUUCUUGCCCGGCAGUAUGUAGGUGUCGUUGAGAUCUUCUAAGCUUUUGAAGAGGUUGGGGAGAGAGCCCUCCAUUCCUUCCUCUCUGAGAAGGCUGAUGACGGUGGCAAGCGGCGCAGACAGUAUGUGGAAGAGGAAAUCCACGCAGUCUUUGCCGGCCUCCGCGAACAAGACGCGUCUCACUUUGCUAGUGUCGAUCAACAGCUUCAUGCUCACCGUCGGAUUCGCCAUUAAUCUUUUUGUGUAUCUGAUGGCUUGAUCUUCUUCUUGGGUGGGUUACUCUAUUUCAACUCACCAUUCAUUUAUAUAUAGAGGCUGGCAAACUAGUUCCAUCGGAUUGGUGCAGAUGAAAAGCUUAGUGAAGUAAUAAUGCUUGCGUUUCUAUUUAAUUAUCAUAAAUUCAUAUCCCUCUGCAAUCAUGAGAGAAAUUGGGUUUCCGUUACUGUUGAUAAAUAUUAAGGGAAAUUGUAUGGAGCCAUAAUUAUAGCUGCCAUAAAUACCCUUCAAAUAUUAAUGAUCUAAUUUGAACACUAAUUUGUCCUCCAUUCAACCCAAACGAUUUUCCCAACCCUAAUUCACACAAUUAUUUUAGGAAAUGAUUCCUAUUGAAAUAAACGGUUUUUUCCCCUUAUUUAAAUCAACAACUAUUUUUCAGUACCCUAAAAAAAUAGUUGAAAUUUUUAGGAAUUAAAUUUCUUAUCUCAAACCUUGCCACCCCAUAUUCAACAAAGCAAAACCAAAAGAAAAAGUGGUUGUCUGCCACUAGGCUAAAAGUGGUUGUCUGCCACCAACAGGCUAUAACAAAUGUAGUAUUAUUUCAAAUUAAAAUGUACUCCCUCCGUCCCAGUAAUGUUGUCCCCUUUCUUUUGGGCACGGAGAUUAAGGAGUGUAAAAUUAGUAUUGUAAAAUAAAAGGUCCCACAUGUUUAAGGAAAAGCAAGUAUAGCUUAAGCCCCUCCCCAAACAUGUCUCUCUCUCUCGGCACUCUCUCCCUCAACAUACACUAUGCAGACGCCGCGCCGCCGGCGACACCAUGUUUAUCUCCGGCGACGGCAACAGUAGGUGGAGCAACCUCUCUGAUUCCGCCGAGCAGCAGUGGGAGCAGCCACUGCCGGUCCCAGCCCCCUGUUCUCCCUUUGUCUCUACCAUUUCUCAACUCCGCCCCUCUCCCUUGUCUCCGGCGACCGCUACGAAGCCACAGAGAUACAAGGAAGACUCUUAUAAACAGAAAAUUGAAACACAGAAGGCCCAAAAUUCGGCGACCGCAUGACUAGAAGGUCGCCGUCGUCGCCGCCGCCGAGCCUCAAAUCUCCAGUCUACUUUUCCCUUCAUUCGAGCCCACCAAAGAUAAAACACACCACAGAGCAACACCACCACCACCACAGAAACAAAGAGAUCCACAAAUAACAACAACAAAAAACAAAAAAUAGAAUCUUUUAAUUGUUGAGAGAAACAAAGGAGAGGGAUGAAGAAAAAAAGCCCUAAUUUCUGAAUAAAAAAAAAAAAAACAGAGGAGGAGAGGGCGAAGGCAGGAGGGCGGCGACUAUGGCGCAAGAGGAGUGACAGGCGGGAGAAGCAGCGUCAGGUGAGAGGCGCUGGGGUCGCCGGAAAGAGGAGCCGCGUCGGUGGCUGAAUUAUUGGGGGAGAGCUAGGGCUCGAAAUUUGCAGAAGAGGGGGAAGGGGAGGAGGCGGAGGCGGCGGCGGCGGCGGCGAGCCCUAAUUCAUGGGGGAGCGGAUUUACAGAGGGGGAAGUGGAGGAGGCGGAGGCGGCGGCGGCGGAACAAAGGGGGAAGAGGGAGGCGGCGCCGGUGGAACAGAGGGGAAGUGAGCGGCGGCGCCGGUGGAUUUGCAGAGGGAAAAUGGUGGAGCGACGAGGGAGAAUGAGGGAGAUGGUAGAGAGAGAGAGAGAGAGAGAGAGAGGAGUGAUGUAAUUUGGAGGGGUAAGUUUAAUUAGAAUAUGUUUAAGUGAGAGUUAAUUAGCCUUAAAAUUUACCCAAAAAGGAAAUGGGACAAGAUUAUUGGGACAACCCAAAAAGAAAAGUGGGACAAGAUUAUUGGGACGGAGGGAGUACAAUAUUCAAGAGCCAUAAGGUGUCUCCAACAAUGAUCCCAAUUUUUAGUUUUUAAAUUGCUACACCAUUGCCACAUCAACUUUAGAAAUUCACCUAUUUUUUUUUUCAAAUCUCCUCCAACAAUAAACUAAUUUUUUAUUUUUUCAGGGUCCCACCAUAAUACACACUCCCUCGAUAUAUCUAUAUAUGUAUAUAUUUCUUAAUUAAUUUUAUUUGUAUUAUUAUUUAUAUACUUUAAUAAUAUUUUUAAAUUAAAAUUCUAUAUUUUAAUUAUCUAAUUUAAUAAAAUAAAUUUAAAAUUCUAAAUUAUAAUUAAAAUUACAUUGCAAAAAUUUAAAUUACAUCAAUUGAAAGUACAUAAACAUAAUAAUUCAAACUAAUUUUACUUAAUUGGAGCCAUCUGUGACAUUGAAUUGUGCCCAAAUAUGUUGUGUCAAAUCAUGUUGAAGUUGGAGAUGUGUUUGUUUAUUUGUUAAAUCGUUGUGAUUUUGGAGAUAAUUUUCAAAUGCUUCCCAAUUAUUAGUACCCAUUGGUAUUGGUUGCUGAGAAGUUGCAUCUUCGUCAGACCAGUUGACCGCUUCUUCACCCUCAUCCUCAAUGAUCAUAUUGUGUAAAAUAAUACAUAUGAGCAUUAUAUUGCGAAGGUCUUCCUUGAAAUAAGACCGCGCUGGAUUUCGAACUACGGCAUGAAAUAGUUGGAACUUGAAAGGAUUGUUGGAUGUAAAUUGUGGAGGAAAAUUUGUUCCAGUAGGAGAGUUGAAUGGAAAUUGUUGAGAAUAAAUCGAACCACCAGGAGAGUUGAAUGGAAAUUGUUGAGGAAAAUUCGGAGACAUUUGAUAAUUGUAUGAAAAUUGUUGUUGAGGGUAAGACAUUUGGUGAUAUUGUGAAUUUGAAAAAUAAGAAUUUUGAAAAUUUUGAGAGCUUGAAUUACUUGAGUCGGAAUUUUGAGAGCUUGAAUCCGCCAUUUUAAUUGUAGUGAAAAGAAUUUUGGAAAUAAGAAGAAGAUAGAUUGUUGGGAAGAUGUGUGAAUAAUGAAAAUUGAAGUGAAGUAUAUAUAGAAAAUUUUAAAAAAUUUCCGUUGUUAUUAGAAUUAGCCGUUAUAAAAUUAUAUAUAGCCGUUGCUUUUUUACAAUGCAAAAUAAAACAUUCAAAAUAAAAUACUAGAAUACAAUGCAAAAUAAUUAAAACACAUAUAAUAAAAAAAAAUAAAAAAUAAAAGACCACAAUGUGAAACAACUGAAGCCAUACUCCCAUAUAAUUCAAAUAGCACGCUUUUCAAUGAGAAAAAGUAGGCUAGAAAAGCAAAAAGAAAUGGCUGCCAGAAAAAGUAGAAUUGAAGAAAGUGGAAUUUGGUGGGCUUUGGUUAAGGUUGUCUUUCGUGGAAAGAAGUUUAGAAACCAGUUCUUUGUUUGCUCUUGGUUUCUCGAUUUUUUCGAAGAAACCAGUUCCUAGUUACUCCAAUGCUAAUUCUUUGUUUUAGAAAUUGGAAAAACUUAUCUUUGGAGGCACCCUAAUAUUGAAAACUACCCACUUCAACUAGUAAGUGCAUGCAAAACCACCAAAAUGAUAUUCACUAUACCACAUUUCAUGCCUUAGUGUGUCCUACUUUCAAUUUUGUUUCGUUUCUUUAUAUAUUUUUUUUUGUGGUUUUUGCAAAUAAAAUCACGAACAAUUUUAAAUGUGCAAUUUUAACGUGGCUUUUGAAGUAUGGCGAAUUAAAUCAUAACCUUUUCAAUUUUCGCAAUUUCAUCCCCUCAAUUUUUUCCGGCCACCGGAGUGAUGAGUUGGAGCUUAUGUGGAUUAUUUUUUUUCACGUAAUUAAUUUCUAACUAAGAUUAAAUUGCUGACUAAGAUUAAAACAAAAUCAAAACCUAAUGCUUUUAUUUUACUUCUUUUUCGUCUUUUAUAAAAAUAUAUUUGAUGUGUAUCUUAAGUUAAAGAUCAUGACAAGAUCUUCAAUUUGAUUUAAAAUUCAUUAAAUAUGAAUUUGAAAUAAAUACUUUAUUAUAAUUUAAAAUUUUAAAGUGAUUGUUUUUCUCUCUCCCAUCUCUUUUACAAUAUUCUUUAUUUUUUUCUCUUUCUCCUUAUUUUGUUAUUAUAUUAUUUCCAUUUGUAUCUCUUUCUCCUACAGAAUUUAUAUAUCUUCUCUUCUCUUUUGAUUAAAAAAAACAUAAUAUUUAUUUGUUGAAUUAUUUUUAUCAAAGUAUACAUAUAAAUAUUUAAAUUAANAAUAUCGAGACAAUAUUAUAAAAGUAUUUAUUAAUUUUAAUUUUAAUAGAAAAUAAUAAUCGAUAACAAAAAACUUUCGGUAAAUUUAAUUAUUAUUAUACAAUACUCAUUGAACGUAAUAUUAUACUCCUACUCAUUAAGUUGAUAAAAUUAUUACUAUACACUAUUUUAAAUCAAGUACUAAUAUUUAAAUUAAUAUAUUUUUUGUUAUUAAUUAAUUUGAUUCACAAAUAAUAAUAUUUUUACAUAAUUUCAAAUUUUAAAAAUAAAUAAAUAUAUCGCGGCCGUGUAUCGUACGGGAGGGCGUACUAGUUUAAGGAAAAUGGGGGAUACUGAAAUAAGUUCGACGAAAAAGAAGAAAAAUAAAAGAAUUAGGUUUUGAUUUUAUUUUAAUCUUAGUCAGAAAUUAAUUACGUGAAAAAAAAAUCCACAUAAGCUCCAACUCAUCACUUCGGUGGCCGGAAAAAAUUGAGGGGAUGAAAUUGCAAAAAUUGAAAAGGUUAUGAUUUAAUUUGCCACAUUUUAAAAGUCGCGUUAAAAUUGCAAAUUCAAAAUUGUUCGUGAUUUUAUUUGCAAAAACCUUUAGUUUACUUUUGUGAUUAUUAAUUAGGAUUUAUUCCAUCAAUUUAUGGUAUAUAAUUAUUUUUUAUUAUUUAAUUUCAUUUUGAGUAGCUAAUUAAUAAUUGGUUGAUAAAUUCAAAGCCAUGGUAUAUAUAUAUACUUUUUAAAAAAUUUACUUUUUUGAAAUAAAAAUUAAUUAUUGUCAUAUCCCGACUUUUAAUCAUUGGUCAAAUGUUUAAUUAUUGAUAAUUAGGGUUCAACAUCCAUUAAUAAAAUUUGGUCUUAUGUAUCUGUUGUGAUUUAAUUUUGUUUGAUGUGAUUGAUUUUAUUUAUUUGAAUCCAAUUGAAAUUUAAAGGAUUUUAUGCAUAAGUUUUAAUUCGUGAGUUAAGUGUAGUUAUAUGAAUUACAUGAAUUUUAAAUUUUGCAUGAAGUCAUAAAUUUUUCUUUAAAUGAGAUAUUAUUUUUUUAUUAUCAAUCAAGAGUUAUAUUUUAAUAAUUUUAUUAAAGAUCAUUUUAUUUAUUUAUUAAAGUCACAAGUUUUAUUUAAAUUUUGAUGGUACAUUUUGCCCACUAAUUUUCUUAGUGUGCUUAAUUCACAUCCAUUUGAUACCCACAUGUUUUAAUUAGUUAACCUUAUCUCAUAACCACCCACUUGCCAUAUCCUAUUAAUUUAACUUCUAAAUAUCUACUCAUCAUUAUCCAGCUUCCUCAUUAAGCAACACUAUUAUCUUCCUCUAGAAGCUAAACAUUGUUCUCACCCACCCUUACCGUCUUCUUUGAAAUUUCACAUCUUUUUUUCACCUUCAACUCCCUAACUAAUUUCAAUCAAGAUUCAAGGUAAGUGCGAUUUAUAUUUAUUCAUCUUAUUAGUCAAUUUCAAGAAAUACCUUCAUACACUUAUGCCAUGCAGCAUUUCUGCAGAAUUUUUAUAACAAUUUUGCUUCCUCAAGGUCUACUCCAAAAUUGAACCACCAAACACAAAGCAAACUACUUAUGAUUCUUUAUAUGUUUAUAUGAUUCUGGAAUUUACACAUGUGGUGUUUAUUGUAAGAAAUACACAGAUAGACAAUUACAAAUCUUGAUGAAUAUAAACUCUUAUAUGAAAUCCUACAACUGUUGUCGUUUUGAAUCGUGGCUGAGCCCCUAUGUAGAUGUAUGUGUGAGUGUCGAGAUCGGGGAGGCGGCAGCCCGAUGACUCGUCGUCGGUAGGCGGCUGAGGCAUGAUGGCGGCGGAGCCGCCACUGUUUCUGUUCGGCCGAAAGGGGAGAAAGGGAAGGGGAUAGAAGAUUUCAGUUUUUCGUUGAAUAAAAGAUAUUAUUAGGGCUUCAAUUUAAUUAAUUAUCUUCAUGAAAUUAAUUCGUGGUUAAAUAUUAUCUUCAUGAAAUUAAUUUAUGUCUAAUCCUCUUUCUUUCCGGCUUCUUAAUUCUCACUCUGAGUCAUAAAUCCCGGUUAAUCCAUCCUUAUGGAUAGUGGGCUGUGACAAUUAUAAUUCAUAGUAUUAUAAUAAAUUUUAUUUUUAUAAAAAAUAUUCUUAAAAUAAUAUAUAUAAGCAUGAGAUACAGUGACACAUUAUUGUAAUUACAUCAUUGUAAUUUUCAUCAUCAAUAUUAAUAUUAUAGUGUUUGUACGUAUACGAAAUAUUUAUAGAAAUUAAUGCAAGAGUUCAACGACAACGAGUACGUACAACACAUUCACAAGUUCUCAAAACAACAAUAUUAAUAUGCAAGCGCAGGCCAGAAAGCUUUUACAUAGUUGGAAACAGAAAGUGCAUUAAUUAAGGAUAAACAGAAACUGGAAAUCAGUGGAGCUAGAGACCAAAAUCCGAGACCGACAUUUGUUGAAGUAGCUUAGCAGAAGAGUUCUGUAAGAACAUUCUCGCUCAGAAGAGAAAUCUUCAAUAACUUUAUAGCCUAACCAAAAAAGAAGACCAUCGUCAAAUCAGGUGCUACUAUAAUCCAAAUAAAAGUAUAUAUUAGUACUAAGACAAGAAAGAAAAUAAAUGAGUUAAACAAGAAGAGAUGAUACCUCCUUCAUUCCCAAAUGGACAACUUCUUCCUUCAAAGCACCGAUAUAAUUAACAUUAUUGAGCAGCGCAAUGCCGGAGAUAGUAGACAUGGGUUUGAUCUCCAAAUCAUCCAUCACCAUGUAAGUCACUACACCCUUCACCAAACCGGCGUUUCUCGACACCACUUGCCCAUUUUCCGGUAUUUUUUGAAAGCCUUGCUGAAGUAUGUGAUGGCUAAUGUUUCUAGUGGACACAUCCUUAAGAGCCAGCUGUGGAAGCAAAGAAGCGGAGACCGGUUUGAGAUAGAAGUCCUUUUUCUUGUUGGGUUGUAUGUAGUCGUCGUCGAGAUUUUCUAAGCUUGUGUAGAGGUUGGGCAAGGAGCCCUGCAUCCCUUCCUCUUUGAGCAAGCGAAUGAUGGUGGAAACCGGCAGAGACAGUAUGUUGAAGAGGAAAUCCACGCAGUCUUUGCCGGCCUCCGCGAAUACCACUCGAUUCCUUCUCGUGUCGAUCAGCAGCUUCAUGCUCACCGUCGGUUCCGCCAUGCCUUUUGCUGUCUCAUCUAAUCGAUCAUCACUUGUUGUCUCAUUUAUAUAUUGAUAUUUGGUUGUGGUGUAGCGUGUUUGCACAAACACAAGUUGUGCAGCUGGGAGGCCAACUUGCUGAGAGAUUUCGAGAAUCAUUAAUUGUGAUGGGUUAGGUGGAAUAGGGAGAGCCUUGCCUUGCCUUGCCUAGUCUAAUUCAACAUACUGUAGAGCUCAUUAAUUUCACAGGAAACUAAAAUUAUUUCAAAAUUUUAACUUUAGCAUUGUGCUAAUAGCGGAAAUCAUCACUUGAGAUUCAGAAUAGGAAUGAGAUCUAGAUCUAGAUUCAGAAUAGGAAUAAGCUCAUAAUUAAAGUUUCGAAUAGAAGUUUGUAAACGCAUAUACAACUGCAAUAAAGCCACCUACAUAUUUAGCUUCUAAAUGGACGCAUCACGACAGCCAACAGCCAAACAAAACUUAUCAAAAGGAGAAAUGGAACAUAAGGAAAACAGAUGAGAUAGCAUGCUGUAAUCUGGAUCAACAUUUCUUCAACUCAUCGAUCGCAUCACAGAAGACUCGUGUAAGAACGUUCUUAGUCGUGAGAGAAGUCUUCAACAACUUAAUCGCCUAACGAAAAGGAAGUGAUCACAUUCGAGAUCAUUAAAGUGUUAGAUAUCAAAUACUAUUAACACAAAUACACACGUAUACACUAUGAUAGUUCAUAAACUGUAGAGACAAACUUCAAAAACAUGCUCAUACACUACGGUUUUAUAGGAAUCGUAGUAACAGACUACUAUAAACUACAGUUUUUACUACAUUUAGUUCUCCAGCGUAGUCUAAAAUUAAAAAAUGGCGCUCACGCACUACAGUUCACCAAAAAGACCGUAGUCUAUAUGAAUAAACUACGGUUUUAUAUAAAACCGUAGUUAUAAGGGUGUAGAGAUAGCCUAAAUUUGUAGUAAUGUAUACUAAAUGAAAGAAGCAGAAAAUGAUACCUCAUUCAUUCCUAAAGUGACAACCUUUUCCUCCAAAGCACCAACCUCCUUGACAUUAAACUUAUUGAGCAGAGUAAUGCUGGAGAUAGUAGACAUGGGCUUGAUCACCAAAUCAUCCAUCACCAUGUAUGUCACCACCCCCUUCACCAAACCGCCGCCUUCCGCCGCCUCUACCACCGCGGGAGGAGCCACAUAGGUCAUAGUCGAGCUCAGAACCCCACGGCACGAAGGACAAGUGGCGCGGGGGUCAUCAGAAACAUAAUUGCCACAAUUUCUACUAUUGUAAUUAUAAUUGGUGCACUUGUAAAAUACCCUCUCAAUUUGAGAACCAGUGAGGGCCAGAAGCGGAACUGAGGAACCGGAGACCGGCGCCGCCGGUUUCAGAAACGCCUCCUUGUUCUUGCCCGGGAGUAUGUAGGUGUCGUUGAGAUCUUCUAAGCUUUUGAAGAGGUUGGGGAGAGAGCCCUCCAUUCCUUCCUCUCUGAGAAGGCUGAUGACGGUGGCAAGCGGCGCAGACAGUAUGUGGAAGAGGAAAUCCACGCAGUCUUUGCCGGCCUCCGCGAACAAGACGCGUCUCACUUUGCUAGUGUCGAUCAACAGCUUCAUGCUCACCGUCGGAUUCGCCAUUAAUCUUUUUGUGUAUCUGAUGGCUUGAUCUUCUUCUUGGGUGGGUUACUCUAUUUCAACUCAUCACCAUUCAUUUAUAUAUAGAGAUUAGAUGCUGGCAAACUAGUUCCAUCGGAUUGGUGCAGAUGACAAGC